AAAAUCAUCCUCCCAGCCCCACGUGUCCAUUUCCCUGUUCGAAGCCCCAGCAGCCCCGCAGAGGGUGAGUGCUGCCACCUCACCAUCCCCAUCCCACUGCCAUCUUUCUGGCUUUUUGAUUAUUUGGAAAAGGUCAAUUGGAAGAAACAAGAGAAAGCAAUCACCGCCCUCAACCGCCAGCCUCCGGACAAAAAGAAAUGUCACUGGCUAAGGAGACAUGAUGCUACAUGUGAGGCAGUGUCCUGAAGAGGAUCCUGGAACAUAGAAAGGACCCCAGUGGAAACAUGAGGGAUCCAGUUAAAGUCCCCAUUUAGUUAGCAGUGAUGUCCCAGUGUCAAUGGUUUAGUUUGGAUAAAUGUACCAGGAUGAUGUGACAUGUUAACGCUACGGGGAGCUAGCUGCAGGAUCUAUGGGAACGCUGUGCAUUACCUUUGCAACUUUCUGGACCUCUAAAAUGAUUUCAAAAUUAAGAGUCUAAAAACAAGUUUUUAAUAUAUAUAUUUAAAUGUCUCUGGGAUAGUACCAGACUCCAGAAUGUACCCUCCGUGAUGCUGUCUGACCCUCAGCCCUAAAUGCUGUUUAAUGGCCAAAAAGACAUCAGCCAAUCUAUUUUACAUUUGCCCAGUGAGUCUUCAUGGCACUGUAGAGCUACUAAGACAAAGACAUACAGAUUUCUGCCCUCAAGAAGCUUACUCACUUCGAAGGGGACAACCAUGUAUGGAUAGCUACAGUACCAGGAGAGUGUGUGGAGACCACAGAGAUUAAUCAAGGCCCUGAAGGUGGAGAGAAUUUCAGUAGAGGCGAAAACCAAGAACCAAAGGCUGAGGGUUAGUGUAACUUUUUAGGGAGGUGGGAAUAGUCCAAUGAAGCUGAAACUUGGAGGCGUGGAGGGAAGUGGGGACGGAGGUCUUGAAGUUUUCCUGUUGUGGCUCAGUGCUUAACGAAUCUGACUAGGAACCAUGAGGUUGUGGGUUCAAUCCCUGACCUCGCCCAGUGGGUUAAGGAUCUGGCGUUGCCAUGAGCUGUGGCAUAGGUCGCAGACGCGGCUCAGAUCCCGAGUUGCUGUGGCUCUGGCGUAGGCCGGUGACUACAGCUCUGAUUAGACCCCUAGCCUGGGAACCUCCAUAUGCCAUGGGUGCGGCCCU
Molecule: long non-coding RNA, 1145 nt
Filed under: Sus scrofa (pig)
Lineage: Eukaryota; Metazoa; Chordata; Mammalia; Artiodactyla; Suidae
Description: lncRNA (ENSSSCG00000043402.1)
Source: RNAcentral